RNAcentral lists this ribosomal RNA (497 nucleotides) under uncultured bacterium. RNAcentral describes it as "partial 16S ribosomal RNA". It matches the Rfam family "Bacterial small subunit ribosomal RNA", at positions 28 to 507 of the family's 1533-position model. The record is from RNAcentral.
GAUGAACGCUGGCGGCGUGCCUAAUACAUGCAAGUAGAACGCUGAAGGAAGGAGCUUGCUCUUUCCGGAUGAGUUGCGAACGGGUGAGUAACGCGUAGGUAACCUGCCUGGUAGCGGGGGAUAACUAUUGGAAACGAUAGCUAAUACCGCAUAACAGUAGAUGUUGCAUGAUAUCUACUUAAAAGGUGCAAUUGCACCACUACCAGAUGGACCUGCGUUGUAUUAGCUAGUUGGUGAGGUAACGGCUCACCAAGGCGACGAUACAUAGCCGACCUGAGAGGGUGAUCGGCCACACUGGGACUGAGACACGGCCCAGACUCCUACGGGAGGCAGCCGUAGGGAAUCUUCGGCAAUGGACGGAAGUCUGACCGAGCAACGCCGCGUGAGUGAAGAAGGUUUUCGGAUCGUAAAGCUCUGUUGUAAGAGAAGAACGAGUGUGAGAGUGGAAAGUUCACACUGUGACGGUAUCUUACCAGAAAGGGACGGCUAACUACGUG